UGGCGGCCGCGGGAAUUCGAUUAGAGUUUGAUCAUGGCUCAGGAUAAACGCUAGCGGCGUGCCUUAUGCAUGCAAGUCGAGCGGUAUAUCGAAAGGUAUACAGCGGCAAACGGCUGAGUAACGCGUAAGCAAUCUAUCCCUAAGUGGGGAAUAAUCCGCCGAAAGGUGGACUAAUACCGCAUGUGGUAGUGGAGGUAGGUUUUCACUACUAAAGCUUUCGGGCGCUUGGGGAGGGGCUUGCGUCCUAUCAGGUAGUUGGUGGGGUAACGGCUCACCAAGCCAAUGACGGGUAGCUGGUUUGAGAGGACGUCCAGCCAGACGGGGACUGAGACACGGCCCCGACUCCUACGGGAGGCAGCAGCAAGGAAUUUUGCGCAAUGGGCGAAAGCCUGACGCAGCAACGCCGCGUGAGGGAAGAAGGCCUUCGGGUUGUAAACCUCUUUUGUCAGGGAAGAAAAAUGACGGUACCUGAUGAAUAAGUCACGGCUAACUACGUGCCAGCAGCCGCGGUAAUACGUAGGUGGCAAGCGUUAUCCGGAUUCACUGGGCGUAAAGAGCGCGUAGGUGGUCCUUCAAGUCAGAUGUUAAAUCUCCUGGCUUAACUGGGAGCUGUCAUCUGAUACUGCUGGACUUGAGGGUGGUAGAGGGAGGUGGAAUUCCCGGUGUAGUGGUGAAAUGCGUAGAUAUCGGGAGGAACACC
This 700-nucleotide ribosomal RNA is filed under the name uncultured bacterium. RNAcentral describes it as "partial 16S ribosomal RNA". It matches the Rfam family "Bacterial small subunit ribosomal RNA", at positions 1 to 710 of the family's 1533-position model. The record is from RNAcentral.